Molecule: ribosomal RNA, 473 nt
Filed under: uncultured bacterium
Lineage: Bacteria
Description: bacterial SSU rRNA
Rfam family: Bacterial small subunit ribosomal RNA
Source: RNAcentral
ACGCUGGCGGCGUGCCUAACACAUGCAAGUCAACUUGACGGAAGAGCAAUCUGACCGUAGAGUGGCGCAAGGGUGCGUAACGCGUAAGUAACUUGCCCAAGGUAAGGAAUAACGUCGAGAAAUCGGCGCUAAUACCUCAUAAUGCAGCGGAUCCGCAUGGAUAUGUUGUUAAAGGUUUACCGCCUUGGGAUAGGCUUGCGUCUGAUUAGCUAGUUGGUGUGGUAACGGCACACCAAGGCUACGAUCAGUAACUGGUCUGAGAGGAUGAUCAGUCACACUGGAACUGAGACACGGUCCAGACUCCUACGGGAGGCAGCAGUGAGGAAUAUUGGGCAAUGCUCGAAAGAGUGACCCAGCAACGCCGCGUGGAGGAUGAAGGUAUUCUAUAUCGUAAACUCCUGUGAGAGCAGACGAAAGACAGAUUAUUAAUCUGGAUGACUGUAUGCUCAGAGGAAGCCCCGGCUAACUACGUG